Molecule: ribosomal RNA, 437 nt
Filed under: Clavibacter sepedonicus
Lineage: Bacteria; Bacillati; Actinomycetota; Actinomycetes; Micrococcales; Microbacteriaceae
Also listed under: 1 other name
Description: bacterial SSU rRNA
Rfam family: Bacterial small subunit ribosomal RNA
Source: RNAcentral
GGCUCAGGACGAACGCUGGCGGCGUGCUUAACACAUGCAAGUCGAACGGUGAUGUCAGAGCUUGCUCUGGCGGAUCAGUGGCGAACGGGUGAGUAACACGUGAGUAACCUGCCCCCGACUCUGGGAUAACUGCUAGAAAUGGUAGCUAAUACCGGAUAUGACGAUUGGCCGCAUGGUCUGGUCGUGGAAAGAAUUUCGGUUGGGGAUGGACUCGCGGCCUAUCAGGUUGUUGGUGAGGUAAUGGCUCACCAAGCCUACGACGGGUAGCCGGCCUGAGAGGGUGACCGGCCACACUGGGACUGAGACACGGCCCAGACUCCUACGGGAGGCAGCAGUGGGGAAUAUUGCACAAUGGGCGAAAGCCUGAUGCAGCAACGCCGCGUGAGGGAUGACGGCCUUCGGGUUGUAAACCUCUUUUAGUAGGGAAGAAGCGAAAG